Molecule: long non-coding RNA, 413 nt
Organism: Patella vulgata (common limpet)
Lineage: Eukaryota; Metazoa; Mollusca; Gastropoda; Patellidae
Exons: 3
Source: RefSeq, a predicted model, not a curated record
CUAUUAUUAAGAUUCAUCCUGUAGAAAUAUUUAUAAUACUUUGUCAAGUUAAUAGUUUUUAUUGUAUGUUAACUUUACAGGGUUACAUUUUUAACUUUUUAUGAGCUCCACAUAUCUGUCAUUUACUGUUUGUAUGUAAUAUUUAAUUAACUUAAAGAAAUGUGUUUUCAGAAAAAAGGUAUACUGAUAAAACGGGUUAACAGCCUCUGGUCCGAAAAUGUUUGAAUAAUUUGGGAUUAUGUAUAUCGCUGCAAUUAUAUCAAGCCGUAUUGUGCGUUAUGCUGUCUUGGAAUCGGGGCCGUGAGUUCAGCAGAAUACCCAUGUAAUUUAGUGGAUUGUCGAACGACUGGAUGUAGAAUACAACAAGUCUUCUGUGUUACUAGUCCCUGUUAUCCAGUUGCAGUAUGUAGUGG